UGGGGAAUAUUGCACAAUGGGCGAAAGCCUGAUGCAGCGACGCCGCGUGAGGGAUGACGGCCUUCGGGUUGUAAACAUCUUUCAGCAGGGACGAAGCGCAAGUGACGGUACCUGCAGAAGAAGCACCGGCUAACUACGUGCCAGCAGCCGCGGGAAUACGUAGGGUGCAAGCGUUGUCCGGAAUUACUGGGCGUAAAGAGUUCGUAGGCGGGUUAUCGCGUCGUUUGUGAAAACCAGCAGCUCAACUGCUGGCUUGCAGGCGAUACGGGCAGACUUGAGUACUGCAGGGGUGACUGGAAUUCCUGGUGUAGCGGUGAAAUGCGCAGAUAUCAGGAGGAACACCGGUGGCGCAGGCGGGUCUCUGGGCAGUAACUGACGCUGAGGAACGAAAGCGUGGGUAGCGAACAGG
This 409-nucleotide ribosomal RNA is filed under the name bacterium. RNAcentral describes it as "partial 16S ribosomal RNA". It matches the Rfam family "Bacterial small subunit ribosomal RNA", at positions 355 to 776 of the family's 1533-position model. The record is from RNAcentral.